Molecule: non-coding RNA, 107 nt
Organism: Gossypium hirsutum (cotton)
Lineage: Eukaryota; Viridiplantae; Streptophyta; Magnoliopsida; Malvales; Malvaceae
Source: Rfam
AUUCCAUGAUGAGGGCAUUUUCAAAAAAAUUCUUUGUACCUUUCCCAUGCCUCAUACAAGGACUCAUCAUCCAUUUGUUGGAAAGUAGUGAUCUCAUUCCUUAACUU